Molecule: ribosomal RNA, 494 nt
Filed under: uncultured bacterium
Lineage: Bacteria
Description: bacterial SSU rRNA
Rfam family: Bacterial small subunit ribosomal RNA
Source: RNAcentral
GAUGAACGCUAGCUACAGGCUUAACACAUGCAAGUCGAGGGGAAACGACAUCGAAAGCUUGCUUUUGAUGGGCGUCGACCGGCGCACGGGUGAGUAACGCGUAUCCAACCUGCCCACCACUUGGGGAUAACCUUGCGAAAGUAAGACUAAUACCCAAUGAUAUCUCUAGAAGACAUCUGAAAGAGAUUAAAGAUUUAUCGGUGAUGGAUGGGGAUGCGUCUGAUUAGCUUGUUGGCGGGGUAACGGCCCACCAAGGCGACGAUCAGUAGGGGUUCUGAGAGGAAGGUCCCCCACAUUGGAACUGAGACACGGUCCAAAACUCCUACGGGAGGCAGCAGUGAGGAAUAUUGGUCAAAUGGGCGAGAGCCUGAACCAGCCAAGUAGCGUGCAGGAUGACGGCCCUAUGGGUUGUAAACUGCUUUUAUAAGGGAAUAAAGUUAGUCUCGUGAGACUUUUUGCAUGUACCUUAUGAAUAAGGACCGGCUAAUUCCGUG